GUCCUGGCCCUAAACGAUGGGUACUAGAUUGUAGACUUGACAUGGGUUUACAGUCGAAGCAAAAGUGUUAAGUACCCCGCCUGGGGAGUAUGGUCGCAAGGCUGAAACUCAAAGGAAUUGACGGGGGCUCACACAAGCGGUGGAGCAUGUGGCUUAAUUCGAGGCUACGCGAAGAACCUUAUCCUGGGCUUGACAUGUGCGAAAGCGGUGGGAAGUAGGGGGCGGAAACGUUACCCCAACGGUAUCCAGUCCGGAACCCACUACAGGUGCUGCAUGGCUGUCGU
RNAcentral lists this ribosomal RNA (284 nucleotides) under uncultured bacterium. RNAcentral describes it as "partial 16S ribosomal RNA". It matches the Rfam family "Bacterial small subunit ribosomal RNA", at positions 793 to 1055 of the family's 1533-position model. The record is from RNAcentral.